ACGAACGCUGGCGGCAGGCCUAACACAUGCAAGUCGAACGCUCGUAGCAAUACGGGAGUGGCGCACGGGUGAGUAACACGUGGGAAUAUACCUUUCGCUGGGGGAUAACUUCGGGAAACUGAAGCUAAUACCGCAUACGCCCUUUGGGGGAAAGAUUUAUCGGCGAGAGAUUAGCCCGCGUCCAAUUAGCUAGUUGGUGAGGUAACGGCUCACCAAGGCGACGAUCGGUAGCUGGUCUGAGAGGAUGAUCAGCCACACUGGGACUGAGACACGGCCCAGACUCCUACGGGAGGCAGCAGUGGGGAAUAUCGAACAAUGGGCGCAAGCCUGAUCCAGCCAUGCCGCGUGAGUGAAGAAGGCCUUAGGGUUGUAAAGCUCUUUCGACGGGGACGAUGAUGACGGUACCCGUAGAAGAAGCCCCGGCUAACUUCGU
Molecule: ribosomal RNA, 433 nt
Filed under: uncultured bacterium
Lineage: Bacteria
Description: bacterial SSU rRNA
Rfam family: Bacterial small subunit ribosomal RNA
Source: RNAcentral